RNAcentral lists this microRNA precursor (79 nucleotides) under Medicago truncatula (barrel medic). RNAcentral describes it as "MIR5269 microRNA precursor family". It matches the Rfam family "MIR5269 microRNA precursor family". Lineage: Eukaryota; Viridiplantae; Streptophyta; Magnoliopsida; Fabales; Fabaceae. The record is from Rfam by way of RNAcentral.
UUAGGUGAAAUCAAUGUUAACUUACACUUUGUCAAUGGAACCCACAUAAAGUGAUGGGAUAUAUAUUGAUUUCACCCAA